GAGUUUGAUCCUGGCUCAGAACGAACGCUGGCGGCGUGGAUUAGGCAUGCAAGUCGAGCGCGAAAGUUCCCUUCGGGGAGCGAGUAGAGCGGCGAAAGGGUGAGUAACGCUUGAGCAAGUUACCUCUAGGCCUGGGAUAGCCUCUGGAAACGGGGGGUAAUACCAGAUGGUCUCGUGAGCAUUGCGAUGCACACGAGUAAAGGUGGGGAUCUUCGAACCUGCCGCCGAGAGAGACGCUCGAGUCCUACCAGCUUGUUGGUGCGGUAACGGCGCACCAAGGCGAAGACGGGUAGCCGGGCUGAGAGGUUGGCCGGCCACACUGGCACUGAGACACUGGCCAGACUCCUACGGGAGGCUGCAGUCGAGAAUCUUCCGCAAUGGACGAAAGUCAGACGGAGCGACGCCGCGUGGAGGAAGAAGGCUUUCGGGUUGUAAACUCCUGUCAGAGUUUAAGAAAGCGGGGGGGCUAAUACCCACCCCUGUUGACAAAGGACUCAAAGGAAGCCACAGCUAACUUCGUGCCAGCAGCUGCGGUAAUACGAAGGUGGCGAGCGUUGUUCGGAUUCACUGGGCAUAAAGGGCGCGUAGGCGGUUUGGAAAGCGGCGUGUGAAAGCCCGGAGCUCAACUCCGGAACUGCAUGCCGAACUUCCGGACUAGAGGACAGGAGGGGAGUGUGGAACUCUAGGUGGAGCGGUGAAAUGCGUAGAUAUCUAGAGGAACGCCGGUGGCGAAAGCGACACUCUGGCCUGACCCUGACGCUGAGGCGCGAAAGCGUGGGUAGCAAACAGGAUUAGAUACC
This 800-nucleotide ribosomal RNA is filed under the name uncultured bacterium. RNAcentral's name for it is "bacterial SSU rRNA". It matches the Rfam family "Bacterial small subunit ribosomal RNA", at positions 9 to 786 of the family's 1533-position model. The record is from RNAcentral.